Molecule: long non-coding RNA, 632 nt
Organism: Xenopus laevis (African clawed frog)
Lineage: Eukaryota; Metazoa; Chordata; Amphibia; Anura; Pipidae
Exons: 4
Source: RefSeq, a predicted model, not a curated record
AAUCUUAUGGGGAUGCCUCUCAACCUGAACAAACUAAAUGAGCAACAAACUAAAAAGAAAAGCUUGCAAUAUUUAUUCUUUUUGUCUAUUUACUGAGUUGAUCUAAAAUAAUGUUUUCCUUUACCAGGUCUGCAAUGAACAUGGAUUUGACAAACUAUGCCCGGUAUGCAAAAACAUUUUUUACAUUAUUAUCCCUGUUUUCAGCCUUCUCCCUCUAUUCUCCCCCCACCACCUGGCAUUAUAUUGUCUUAUUUUCAAAUUUUGCAUUUUACUUUUUUUUAGGACCCAACUGGCUGGAUAGACCUCGAACAAUGUAUUGGAUCAGGAGGAUUUGGAGUAAUCCAUAAGGCAUGGCAUUUUAAGGAAAAGAAAGAAGUGGCCAUAAAAGUGAUAAAAGACCUUAGGGAUAAUGAAGAGAUCCUUGCUGAACUGUACGUACUUGAACGCGUUUCUGGCCACGACAACUUCCCUGCCUUUUAUGGAGCCUGUUAUCUACGGCCCAGCAUUUCAAAUGAAGAGGCGCUAUGGAUUGCUAUGACAAUGUGUGCUGGUGGCUCCGUAGACGCCUUAAUUAGGAGCACGCCCAAUAGAUCCUUGGAUGAGACCUGGAUUUCAUACAUAUGCUGGAAAGU